Molecule: long non-coding RNA, 1165 nt
Filed under: Anas platyrhynchos platyrhynchos (common mallard)
Lineage: Eukaryota; Metazoa; Chordata; Aves; Anseriformes; Anatidae
Description: lncRNA (ENSAPLG00000019950.1)
Source: RNAcentral
AAACAAACAAACAACAAACAAACAAAGAAACAACAACAACAAAAAAAAAAAAACAAAAUAAUAAAAAACAGCUGCUGCUGCUCCUGCUUUGUUUCUACUUCCUUGUGCUUUGCCCCUCCCCUUUUCCAGGUGAUUGGGUUUGGGUGCUGGGCGGGGCCGAAUGGUAUAUGAGCCCCAGGCAUGCUAUCAGAGAGCUCAUUCUGCCUGGGCUGCUCCUUGAGUAGGUAAACAUUAGGAGGAACCGGUCAAAGGUAACAGCGCUUUCUGGAACCGUCAAGUUCUUGUUCGGCAACGUAGUGACUGGUUUGAUCUACUUCACAGAUGGAGAGUGGUAGAUAACAUUUAUAAGGAAUCGGUCAAAGGAAAGAGCGCCUUCUGGAACUGUGAAGCUCUGUGUUGGCAACUCGGUGACUGGCUGGACCUACUGUCCAUCUCCAGAGGGAAGCGGACUGCUGUUUUGAAAUUAAAAAAUACUAAUGAAAAAAAUAAAAAUAUGGUGCUGCUCUAUGGCGCCCGGAGGACUGCCACUCUGCAUGGCAGUUAAAAAGAAUGUGGUUUGGAGAUGGAGAGCCACAGAGAUGAAGCAGCUGGGAAGAGAGACACAAGUAUUGCAGUAGGUAGGCUGUGGUUAUGAGGUGCCUCAGGAUGUGCUUUUUUUCUUGUUUCCGCCCUUCCCUCGUGCAGCCUUGGAGAGAUGAAGUCCCCAUGGUGUGGAGUGGUGCAAAAAGAGGAAUGGUCCAGCAAUUCGGGUUAAUAGGGGACAAGAGAACAAAGGGGUUUCAGAAUAACUGCUAACUGUUAUGACUAUUGCAUGGGGCACUAUGCAAGUCUCUGACAUCCAGCCAAGAUGGACAAAGGAGAAGGACAAGGGAAAAGCCUGGGAGGAAGACUAUGAGCCUUCAGUACGAGAGACCCGCAGAGGGACCACCAGAGACUGAUAACACAUGCGUCAGUGGGCGGGUUCGGAUUCCAGGAACUAGUUAUAAUAACCCUGCCUUUUCUAGAAGUAGUAAUGAAUAUGUAUUAGCCUAGGAGCAUAAAAACCAGCCGCCUGCUGUGACUUGUGUGCGUCUCGGUGGAGCAGAGACUCCCGGCGCACCCAGUGCUGUUUGCUUACCUCUAUUCAUUUAAUAAAUUGUAAACUUUGAUUGUAAUCCUAUUUGGG